RNAcentral lists this ribosomal RNA (253 nucleotides) under uncultured bacterium. Its description in RNAcentral is "partial 16S ribosomal RNA". It matches the Rfam family "Bacterial small subunit ribosomal RNA", at positions 524 to 776 of the family's 1533-position model. The record is from RNAcentral.
UACAGAGGGUGCGAGCGUUAAUCGGAAUUACUGGGCGUAAAGCGCACGUAGGCGGCUUUGCAAGUCAGGUGUGAAAUCCCCGGGCUUAACCUGGGAACUGCAUCUGAGACUGCAUGGCUAGAGUAUGGGAGAGGGAAGUGGAAUUUCAGGUGUAGCGGUGAAAUGCGUAGAUAUCUGAAGGAACAUCAGUGGCGAAAGCGACUUCCUGGACCAAUACUGACGCUCAUGUGCGAAAGCGUGGGGAGCAAACAGG